Molecule: long non-coding RNA, 197 nt
Organism: Myotis davidii
Lineage: Eukaryota; Metazoa; Chordata; Mammalia; Chiroptera; Vespertilionidae
Exons: 2
Source: RefSeq, a predicted model, not a curated record
UUUAUUUUUUUUAUUUAUUUAUUUUUUUCUCUGCGCGUUUAAAAGUCGAAGCAUCUCCCACUCGCCGGAGUGCUCGCUCCCCAGCGAUCAGACGAGGACUCACUAAUGCCGGUCGCUUACUCCUCCCACCAACCCCGGGGUUGGAUCUAUCGUUAGCCCCACGUUACAGAUUUCUUCACUUUAAAAAAAAAACAACA